UAUGAGGGCCACUGACUAUGUUUGAAGGAAACCAUGUAAGCCUGGAGAAGAAAAUAAAGCUGUCAAUAUCCUCAGGCUACUCUACCGAGGUUCAGAGAAGGGGAGCACCCGGCUGGCCUAGUCGGUGGGGGUUGUGAGUUUGACCCCCGUGUUGGGUGUAGAGAGUACUUAAAAAUAAAGUCUUAAAAAAAAAAAAGCUCAGAUAACAGAAAGGGGAGAGGAUAAGUAGGAUGGUGGGGUGGGGGGGGGGCGCGGAGUUCAGAGAGUAAGAUACAGCUGUAAUAUUAAAAAAUAUCAGUUGAGGGGUGGCUCAGUCAGUUAAGUAUCUGACUUCAGCUCAGGUCAUGAUCUCGCAGUUCUUGAGUUCGAGCCCUGCAUAAGGCUCUGUGCUGACAGCUCGGAGCCUGGAACCUGCUUUGGAUUCUGUGUCUCCCUCUCUGCCCCACCUGCUCUGCCUCUGCUGCUUGUGUGCUGUCUCUAAAAAAUACACGUUAAAAAAACUUAUUAAAAUUAUCAGUUGAACCAUAUGAAACUGCCCAUGUUUUCACUGUGUUUGACCUACAUAAACAACAGUAAAAAACUCGGUAUAUGAAUUGUGUGAUAAAGUAGAAACUCUCAGAAAAAUGAGAAGACCUACAGGUGGAAAACAGAAGAAAAGGAAAUUGAGAAAUAAUUCAAUGAAGUUUCCUAGAACUGAAGGACAUUUGUUUCUAGGUUGAAAAAUCGAAAGGGCUCAUGAGUGUGGUGGAUGAAAACAGAUUCAAAGCAAGACUCAACAAUUACAGAAAACUAGAAACAAACUAACAAACUUCCGAUUAGAGAAAAUAUUCACUGAAGGAAGAAGAAUCAAAUGGUUUUGGAUUUGGACUCUGAAUGCAGAGAAGGAAGCGCCCACUUUCUGAAACAUCACAGUUGCCAGAUCCAGCUAUCAGUUCAACGUGAGGGAUAAUAAAACCAUUUUCGGACGUACCAAGUCUAGAUGUCCUCCGCGAAAUCAGAGAGACAAGAAGAAACAUGGGGUCAAGGAAAAUAGGGACCCUACACAAGACAGAGACCAAGAAAAUUUCUAGGCUGGCAGCUGGGCAGCAGGUAGAAGUCUAGGAGGAGAAAACAGACAGGAAGGGAGUCCAGGAGAAAGGGGUCCCGCCAAACACUGGUCAGGGCCCGGGGUGUCUGGGGAGCUCAGCCAGUUAAGUGACUUUGGCUCCGGUCAUGAUCUCGAGGUUCCUGAGUUCGAGCCCCACGAGUCAGCACAGAGCCUGCUUUGGGUCCUCUACCUUUCUCUCCCUACCCCUCCCCUGCCCGCACGCUGUCUCAAAAAUAGACAUUAAAAAACAAAAACCAAAAAACCCACAACUGGUUGGGGCCACAGAGAGGAGUUUGUGUGUGAGGGAAGAACGGUAUUCAGGUCUGUUGUAGGGUCUGCUUAGAGACUAAGCAAACAAAAAAAGAGGCAAUUAACUCUAGGAAAAAGAAAAUUUAUACAAGGGAAAUGUACUCAUAAUGCACUAUUUAGUUCAACAGUGGACAAUACUUAUGCGGCCACAGAAAGAGACUUAACCACGAAUCGGAAAGAUAAGGGGAGAGACGAUGUAAGAGCAGCAAUCCUGUGUUCUACACAGCAAGCCAGUCCUGAAACAGGUCAACUGUCCUCUUUGUUGUGCCAGACUUUUUACCGUUAACUAGUUAUCCUGAUGGCAAAGGAAAACUUUUUAAAAAGCAAUGAACCUAAAAGAGACUGGGUCUCAAGGUCUGCCUUCCCGCCCGGCAUGGCUCUGAACAGGAACUCGAGACACCUCCGUGUACCGAGGCCAAGGGGUGAGCUUCGUGGAAAAACACAGAAGCGCGUUUGCACACGACGGCACUGCAGGGGAAUCUCCGCUCCACACGCAGGGUAACCGACAGUAAACAGAGUGGCUGUAACACCAAGGCGCCCCCAGGCCCUCGUCCGCAGGACAGCCCCGGCAUCCGUGUAAGACCUUGAGUGGAGCCUGGAGUCGGGAUGGUCAGCCCCGCCUGGCUCUCUCCUCUCUGCCAACACGGGGGCGGGACGGCCCUUGCCGCGACUCCCCGAGGAGGAGCAGGGAUGGCUUCCUCGGUACAGAAUUCUCUCGUACCACCAACUUCCCCAUUCCCCCUCAAACGUGGCACAGCUGACAGGAAGCUGUUGAGCUACUAAGCGUGAGGUGAAGGUGCUAAUUUCUGGAGAAAAAAGCACUUUUUGAGGGUGUGUGUAAAUCUUACGUCCACAGCCCGACCCAUUACUGUCAGUCACCCCCAGGGCCUGAAAACCCGACUCCGGCCCCACGGGCGAGUAGAGGGAGCGCGGACUCUGCAGACACAGGACCGCAGCGACACCAGCCGUACGGCUUCCUUCUCUCCGACGGGCCCCUUGCUAGCAGGGUCACAUAAGCGAGGACAACCCCAGCAGACGCUGAGCUACCUCAGGGAUCAAAGCCUGCCUGGCCUCACAGCCCGCGGCUCCCCUGCUCUCUCCCCGCUGCGGGAGCCGGCUUGUAUGCGCCACCGGGGAGCAGUUCCUCCGGCCCGUAUCGUGGGUCAGGAACCACUGGCGCGUGCUCUCGCUGCCACCAGCGCUAAUCUUUUGGCAGCAGUUAUUACCAAUCCAGUGAUAACUCCUGUGUUCACGGUUUCUCCACCAGCCCAGGCUGUCUGCCUUGUUUUCAGGUAUGUCCCAGCCCUGACCCUGUGACCCUGUAACAGCAGGCACACAGCGGAUUUCCCCACAAAGGUGGAAUUCCCAGCCUGUCCCCCAGGGUCCCAGGCAGAGCCUGCUGGGUGCCUCUGACUGACCUGAUAGGUUGAUUUCGGUUAAGGAGUCUCGGGUGGUGGUGCCCACAGCGGUGAGCAGGUUGAUGGACUGGUCAGUAACGUGGUUACAGUAGCUGAGGUGGAGCUUGGACAGCAGGGGCAUGUGGCGUAUGAUGAGCCGCAGGGAGGCAUCUGUGAUGUCCAGGCCUGCUAGACGCAGCUCCACAAUGUUCCGGAGCUUGCUCCGAUUGUCCAUCUGACCUGAGGGGGCAGGAAGGAGAGAGGCAGCAUGUCAACCUGACCGGGGAGAUGGGGUCACAAUGACCUAACACUCUAGAGGGCCUACUGGCCACACGUCACACUUCAGUUUCACUUAGCCAUUGAGUGUUUCCCCAAACUGGUUCCCACGUUUAAAAAUAUAAGGGUUCCACAUCAACUCUCCCACUUCUGGAUUCCUGAAAAAUCAGAACGUCUAGAAACAGCCCACAUUCUACCCAGCAGUCCUCAGCCAACUAGAGCAGAGACUGCACAGCAUCUCUGACCACCAGGGUUUCCUCAUUUGAGCUACAGGCAGGGAGCAAUGACCCUCACAACCCAAGCCAGAAGGUUCCAUCUUGUGAGCUCAUCUCCAACUACACUGACCCCCGUGCCCACGGAAGCUUGAAGCCAACGAAGGACAAAUUAACAGAGAAGUAGUCAGACGCAUGCAAAGCCCCCACAGUGAAGUCCUGGGUGCGCAAAGAAGCCUCUGCUCUCAGUGGUCCCUUCCCUGCCUGAAGCUGAGUGAGAACAUAACAGCAUCCUCCAGAAAGGGCUGGGACCAGAGAAGGCUUGAGAACCCAUGCACCCGGUGGGGCCUGUAGUGAAAACCAGAUCCGACGGCAGAGCCUGGUCAGACUGCCUCCGCCUCGACCCCCUUGGGCCCGGCCACUCACCUGGCCUGUUAUCUGUGGGCGGGGACAGGAGAUCCCGCAUCUGGGCAUCCUUUAGUCCUUCCACCCACUGGACAUCCAGGGUCCGGAGCAAAGGACAGCUGGAGCUACAGAGAGCUGAGACGGCGAUCCACGAGCAGCCCGACAGCACCAAGUCUCGGAGCCCUGGGGGACAGGGGAGGGCUGGCAGGUCAGGCGAUGCACCCCAGCCCCCACCACUGCACCUCCAGGGUCCCUGGCCCAGUGCUCACCAGGCAACCGGUUGAUGAGCCAGCUCAGCUGUUUCUUGGAGAUAUUGGUCCAGCUGAGGUCCAGGGAGACAGGCUGCCGCCGGAUGAUGCCACUCAGCAUCAGGGGCG
Long non-coding RNA from Panthera uncia (snow leopard), 4063 nucleotides. RefSeq lists it as uncharacterized. NCBI's taxonomy places the organism in Eukaryota, Metazoa, Chordata, Mammalia, Carnivora, Felidae. The record is from RefSeq and is a predicted model, not a curated record. The transcript has 2 exons.